AUGGUUUGCGGGAAAACUCUUCUCUCUCUGGUCUGACUUCGAGUCCUUCUAGAAGUAAAUAAAGGAAAUGCUUAUUCAACUACGGCACUGUUGGACAACCGACCGGAUUCAAGCCCUAGCCCCUCAACUCGGACGGACUUGUGGAAAUCCUCGAAAACAAGUAUUGCUCAACUCAUCUAUCUAUAA
Molecule: ribosomal RNA, 186 nt
Filed under: Triticum aestivum (bread wheat)
Lineage: Eukaryota; Viridiplantae; Streptophyta; Magnoliopsida; Poales; Poaceae
Description: partial small subunit ribosomal RNA
Source: RNAcentral